CCUACGGGGGGCUGCAGUGGGGAAUAUUGGACAAUGGGGGAACCCUGAUCCAGCCAUGCCGCGUGUGUGAAGAAGGCCCUCGGGUUGUAAAGCACUUUCAGUGAGGAAGAACGCCUGGUGGUUAAUACCCAUCAGGAAAGACAUCACUCACAGAAGAAGCACCGGCUAACUCCGUGCCAGCAGCCGCGGUAAUACGGAGGGUGCGAGCGUUAAUCGGAAUUACUGGGCGUAAAGCGCGCGUAGGUGGCUUGAUAAGCCGGUUGUGAAAGCCCCGGGCUCAACCUGGGAACGGCAUCCGGAACUGUCAAGCUAGAGUGCAGGAGAGGAAGGUAGAAUUCCCGGUGUAGCGGUGAAAUGCGUAGAGAUCGGGAGGAAUACCAGUGGCGAAGGCGGCCUUCUGGACUGACACUGACACUGAGGUGCGAAAGCGUGGGUAGCAAACAGGAUUAGAUACCCUGGUAGUC
RNAcentral lists this ribosomal RNA (464 nucleotides) under Vreelandella stevensii. RNAcentral's name for it is "partial 16S ribosomal RNA". It matches the Rfam family "Bacterial small subunit ribosomal RNA", at positions 338 to 795 of the family's 1533-position model. Lineage: Bacteria; Pseudomonadati; Pseudomonadota; Gammaproteobacteria; Oceanospirillales; Halomonadaceae. The record is from RNAcentral.